This 1370-nucleotide ribosomal RNA is filed under the name uncultured bacterium. RNAcentral's name for it is "16S ribosomal RNA". It matches the Rfam family "Bacterial small subunit ribosomal RNA". The record is from RNAcentral.
AGAGUUUGAUCCUGGCUCAAGAUGAACUUUGGCGGUGUGCCUAAUACAUGCAAGUCGAACGGUGACUAUUUUGUAGCAAUACGAAUGAAAUCAUAGUGGCGAACGGGUGAGUAACGCGUUGGUGAUCUGCCUCGAAGUGUGGAAUAACUUCCCGAAAGGGUAGCUAAUACCGCAUACUCUCUCAAGGUUUAAAAAAUUGAGAGUAAAGGAUUUAUUCUCUUCGAGAGGAGCCUGCGUCCCAUCAGCUAGUUGGUAGGGUAAUAGCCUACCAAGGCAAUGACGGGUAGGGGACCUGAGAGGGUGGCCCCCCACAAUGGAACUGAAACACGGUCCAUACACCUACGGGUGGCAGCAGUAGGGAAUAUUAGAAAUGGGCGAAAGCCUGAUCUAGCAACACCGCGUGUGCGAUGAAGGCCUUCGGGUUGUAAAGCACUUUUUGGAGGGAAUAGGAAGGAAGGUACCUCCAGAAUAAGUCUCGGCUAACUACGUGCCAGCAGCCGCGGUAACACGUAGGAGGCAAACGUUAUCCGGAUUCACUGGGUGUAAAGCGCGUGUAGGUGGUUCUGUAAGUAGGGCGUGAAAGCUCCCGGCUCAACUGGGAGAGGCCGUACUAAACUGCAGAGCUAGAGGAUGGUAGAGGGAGGUGGAAUUCCAGGUGUAGUGGUGAAAUGCGCAGAUAUCUGGAGGAACACCAGUGGCGAAGGCGGCCUCCUGGACCAUUCCUGACACUCAGACGCGAAAGCUAGGGUAGCAAACGGAAGGAGAGACUCCGGUAGUCCUAGCCCUAAACGAUGCAGAAUAGGGGUCGGCGGGUUAAUCCCCCGUCGGUGUCCAAAGCUACGCGAUAAGUUCUCCCGCCGGAGGACUACGCCCCCAAGGUUAAAAUUCAAAGGAAUGGCGGGUUCCCGCCCAAGCAGCGGAGCGUGUGGUUUAAUUGGAGGUUCCGCGAAGAACCUUACCUGGGUUUGACAUAACAGUGGUAGAGAAGUGAAAACGGAUCGACCCUUCGGGGAGCUGUUACAGGUGUUGCAUGCCUGUCGUCAGCUCGUGUCGUGAGAUGUUCGGUUAAGUCCGCUAACGAGCGCAACCCGCGCUGUGUGUUACAAGUGUCACACAGUACCGCCGGUAUUAAGUCGGAGGAAGGUGCGGAUGACGUCAAGUCAGCAUGACCUUUAUAUCCAGGGCUACACACACGCUACAAUGGUCAGAACAAUAGGUUGCCAAGCCGCAAGGCGGAGCCAAUCCUCCAAAUCUGGCCUCAGUUCAGAUUGCAGGCUGCAACUCGCCUGCAUGAAGUCGGAGUUGCUAGUAACCGCAGGUCAGCAUACUGCGGUGAAUACGUUCCCGGGGAUUGUACACACCGCCCGUCA